RNAcentral lists this ribosomal RNA (496 nucleotides) under uncultured bacterium. RNAcentral's name for it is "partial 16S ribosomal RNA". It matches the Rfam family "Bacterial small subunit ribosomal RNA", at positions 28 to 506 of the family's 1533-position model. The record is from RNAcentral.
GAUGAACGCUGGCGGCGUGCCUAAUACAUGCAAGUCGAGCGAACAGACGAGGAGCUUGCUCCUCUGACGUUAGCGGCGGACGGGUGAGUAACACGUGGAUAACCUACCUAUAAGACUGGGAUAACUUCGGGAAACCGGAGCUAAUACCGGAUAAUAUAUUGAACCGCAUGGUUCAAUAGUGAAAGACGGUUUUGCUGUCACUUAUAGAUGGAUCCGCGCCGCAUUAGCUAGUUGGUAAGGUAACGGCUUACCAAGGCAACGAUGCGUAGCCGACCUGAGAGGGGGAUCGGCCACACUGGAACUGAGACACGGUACAGAAUCCUAUGGGAGGCAGCAGUAGGGAAUCUUCCGCAAUGGGCGAAAGCCUGACGGAGCAACGCCGCGUGAGUGAUGAAGGUCUUCGGAUCGUAAAACUCUGUUAUUAGGGAAGAACAAAUGUGUAAGUAACUAUGCACGUCUUGACGGUACCUAAUCAGAAAGCCACGGCUAACUACGU